This 437-nucleotide ribosomal RNA is filed under the name uncultured bacterium. RNAcentral's name for it is "partial 16S ribosomal RNA". It matches the Rfam family "Bacterial small subunit ribosomal RNA", at positions 341 to 792 of the family's 1533-position model. The record is from RNAcentral.
ACGGGAGGCAGCAGUGGGGAAUAUUGGGCAAUGGGCGGAAGCCUGACCCAGCAACGCCGCGUGAGGGAAGAAGGUUUUCGGAUUGUAAACCUCUGUCCUUGGUGACGAAGGAAGUGACGGUAGCCAAGGAGGAAGCCCCGGCUAACUACGUGCCAGCAGCCGCGGUAAUACGUAGGGGGCGAGCGUUGUCCGGAAUGACUGGGCGUAAAGGGCGUGUAGGCGGCGCUGUAAGUCCGGAGUGAAAGUCCUGCUUUCAAGGUGGGAAUUGCUUUGGAUACUGUCGGGCUUGAGUGCAGGAGAGGUUAGUGGAAUUCCCAGUGUAGCGGUGAAAUGCGUAGAGAUUGGGAGGAACACCAGUGGCGAAGGCGACUAACUGGACUGUAACUGACGCUGAGGCGCGAAAGUGUGGGGAGCAAACAGGAUUAGAUACCCUGGUA